UCCUCCCCUUAUUGCUGCACCACCCAUUUCCUCUCCAUUUUCAUUUUUUUCCUCUUUUGAUUAGCUUUCAACCUCCCUUUUUGCUUUCUUUUUCUUUUUCUUCCACUGUUCCUAGCUUUACACCACCAUCACCUCACCACUGAACUAACACCUUGCCACCUCUCCCCUCUCAUUUUUCUCCAAACGCCACCCUUAGCGCCGCCCUCCUCCACUGUGGCAACCACCGCACAACUUCUUUCUUUUUCUUAUUUUCUUUUCUUUUCUCAUUUCUCCUCUUUUUAGA
This 283-nucleotide long non-coding RNA is filed under the name Gossypium raimondii (Peruvian cotton). RNAcentral's name for it is "long non-coding RNA (GRAI_LNC002233)". The record is from RNAcentral. Lineage: Eukaryota; Viridiplantae; Streptophyta; Magnoliopsida; Malvales; Malvaceae.